CUACGGGCCGCUGCAGUGGGGAAUAUUGCACAAUGGGGGAAACCCUGAUGCAGCGACGCCGCGUGAACGAUGAAGUAUUUCGGUAUGUAAAGUUCUAUCAGCAGGGAAGAUAAUGACGGUACCUGACUAAGAAGCACCGGCUAAAUACGUGCCAGCAGCCGCGGUAAUACGUAUGGUGCAAGCGUUAUCCGGAUUUACUGGGUGUAAAGGGUGCGUAGGUGGUAUGGCAAGUCAGAAGUGAAAGCACGGGGCUCAACCCCGUAACUGCUUUUGAAACUGUCAAACUAGAGGGCAGGAGAGGAAAGCGGAAUUCCUAGUGUAGCGGUGAAAUGCGUAGAUAUUAGGAGGAACACCAGUGGCGAAGGCGGCUUUCUGGACUGUAACUGACACUGAGGCACGAAAGCGUGGGGAGCAAACAGGAUUAGAUACCCCGGUAGUC
This 439-nucleotide ribosomal RNA is filed under the name uncultured bacterium. RNAcentral describes it as "partial 16S ribosomal RNA". It matches the Rfam family "Bacterial small subunit ribosomal RNA", at positions 339 to 795 of the family's 1533-position model. The record is from RNAcentral.